RNAcentral lists this non-coding RNA (21 nucleotides) under Arabidopsis thaliana (thale cress). Lineage: Eukaryota; Viridiplantae; Streptophyta; Magnoliopsida; Brassicales; Brassicaceae. The record is from RNAcentral.
AUUUGUUUGAGUUUUUUUUGC